GUGAAGAGGCCUUUGGGUUGUAAAGCUCUUUUGUAGGGGAAGAUAUGACUGUACCCUAAGAAUAAGGUCCGGCUAACUUCGUGCCAGCAGCCGCGGUAAUACGAAGGGACCUAGCGUAGUUCGGAAUUACUGGGCGUAAAGCGCGCGUAGGCCGUUGAGUUAGUUAAUUGUGAAAUCCCAAAGCUUAACUUUGGAACUGCAAUUAAAACUGCUCGACUAGAGUUUGAUAGAGGAAAGCGGAAUACAUAGUGUAGAGGUGAAAUUCGUAGAUAUUAUGUAGAACACCAGUUGCGAAGGCGGCUUUCUGGGUCAACACUGACGCUGAGGCGCGAAAGUAUGGGUAGCAAAGAGGAUUAGAUACCCUCGUAGUCCAUACCAUAAACGAUGAUUGCUAGAUGUUGGAAAUUUAUUUUCAGUAUCGCAGCUAACGCAUUAAGCAAUCCGGCUGGGGAGUACGAGCGCAACGUUAAAACUCAAUGAAUUGACGGGGGAACCCGUACAAGCGGGUGGAGCAUGU
Molecule: ribosomal RNA, 517 nt
Filed under: uncultured archaeon
Lineage: Archaea
Description: bacterial SSU rRNA
Rfam family: Bacterial small subunit ribosomal RNA
Source: RNAcentral